GACGAACGCUGGGGGCGUGCUUAACACAUGCAAGUCGAACGGAAAGGCCUCUUUCGGGGGGUACUCGAGUGGCGAACGGGUGAGUAACACGUGAGUAACCUGCCCUUGACUUUGGGAUAACUUCAGGAAACUGGGGCUAAUACCGGAUAGGAGCUCCUGCUGCAUGGUGGGGGUUGGAAAGUUUCGGCGGUUGGGGAUGGACUCGCGGCUUAUCAGCUUGUUGGUGGGGUAGUGGCUUACCAAGGCUUUGACGGGUAGCCGGCCUGAGAGGGUGACCGGCCACAUUGGGACUGAGAUACGGCCCAGACUCCUACGGGAGGCAGCAGUGGGGAAUAUUGCACAAGGGGUGGAAGCCUGAUGCAGCAACGCCGUGUGCGGGAUGACGGCCUUCGGGUUGUAAACCGCUUUCGCUCAUGACGAAGCUUUGUGUGACGGUAGUGGGUAAAGAAGCACCGGCUAACUACGUG
RNAcentral lists this ribosomal RNA (467 nucleotides) under uncultured bacterium. RNAcentral describes it as "partial 16S ribosomal RNA". It matches the Rfam family "Bacterial small subunit ribosomal RNA", at positions 28 to 507 of the family's 1533-position model. The record is from RNAcentral.